RNAcentral lists this transfer RNA (105 nucleotides) under Nitrososphaerota archaeon. RNAcentral's name for it is "Thaumarchaeota archaeon tRNA-Ser". It matches the Rfam family "tRNA". From Rfam's summary of the family: Transfer RNA (tRNA) molecules are approximately 80 nucleotides in length. The record is from RNAcentral. Lineage: Archaea; Thermoproteati; Nitrososphaerota.
GCCGGGGUGGCGGAGUCUGGCAACGCGCGGGCCUCGAGAGCCCGUGACCCUUUGGGUCAUGUGGGUUCAAAGCCCGUUUCGCGGGUGAAAAUCCCACCCCCGGCG